CCCGCUCCCGGUAAAACGGGACGGCCCGCCAGAGGACCCCUAAACUCUGUUUCUAUAUGUAACUUCUGAGUAAAACCAUAAAUAAAUCAAAACUUUCAACAACGGAUCUCUUGGUUCUGGCAUCGAUGAAGAACGCAGCAAAAUGCGAUAAGUAAUGUGAAUUGCAGAAUUCAGUGAAUCAUCGAAUCUUUGAACGCACAUUGCGCCCGCCAGUAUUCUGGCGGGCAUGCCUGUUCGAGCGUCAUUUCAACCCUCAAGCCCCCGGGUUUGGUGUUGGGGAUCGGCGAGCCCUUGCGGCAAGCCGGCCCCGAAAUCUAGUGGCGGUCUCGCUGCAGCUUCCAUUGCGUAGUAGUAAAACCCUCGCAACUGGUACGCGGCGCGGCCAAGCCGUUAAACCCCCAACUUCUGAAUGUUGACCUCGGAUCAGGUAGGAAUACCCGCUGAACUUAAGCAUAUCAAUA
RNAcentral lists this ribosomal RNA (461 nucleotides) under Fusarium sp. FL-2010g. RNAcentral's name for it is "eukaryotic LSU rRNA". The stretch from base 91 to 244 matches the Rfam family "5.8S ribosomal RNA". The record is from RNAcentral. Lineage: Eukaryota; Fungi; Ascomycota; Sordariomycetes; Hypocreales; Nectriaceae.